Molecule: ribosomal RNA, 446 nt
Filed under: uncultured bacterium
Lineage: Bacteria
Description: partial 16S ribosomal RNA
Rfam family: Bacterial small subunit ribosomal RNA
Source: RNAcentral
CCUACGGGUGGCAGCAGUCGAGAAUCAUUCACAAUGGGGGAAACCCUGAUGGUGCGACGCCGCGUGGGGGAAUGAAGUUCUUCGGAUUGUAAACCCCUGUCAUGUGGGAGCAAAUUAAAAAUAUAGUACCACAAGAGGAAGAGACGGCUAACUCUGUGCCAGCAGCCGCGGUAAUACAGAGGUCUCAAGCGUUGUUCGGAAUCACUGGGCGUAAGGCGUGCGUAGGCUGUUUCGUAAGUCGUGUGUGAAAGGCGCGGGCUCAACCCGCGGACGGCACAUGAUACUGCGAGACUAGAGUAAUGGAGGGGGAACCGGAAUUCUCGGUGUAGCAGUGAAAUGCGUAGAUAUCGAGAGGAACACUCGUGGCGAAGGCGGGUUCCUGGACAUUAACUGACGCUGAGGCACGAAGGCCAGGGGAGCGAAAGGGAUUAGAUACCCGAGUAGUC